This 255-nucleotide ribosomal RNA is filed under the name uncultured bacterium. RNAcentral describes it as "partial 16S ribosomal RNA". It matches the Rfam family "Bacterial small subunit ribosomal RNA", at positions 78 to 334 of the family's 1533-position model. The record is from RNAcentral.
CUUUCUUUUGCUGGCGACCGGCGCACGGGUGAGUAACACGUAUCCAACCUGCCCUUUACUCGGGGAUAGCCUUUCGAAAGAAAGAUUAAUACCCGAUAGCAUAAUGAUUCCGCAUGGUUUCAUUAUUAAAGGAUUCCGGUAAAGGAUGGGGAUGCGUUCCAUUAGGUUGUUGGUGGGGUAACGGCCCACCAAGCCUUCGAUGGAUAGGGGUUCUGAGAGGAAGGUCCCCCACAUUGGAACUGAGACACGGUCCAA